CGGACGGGUGAGUAACGCGUGAGAAUCUGCCUUCAGGACGGAGACAACAGUUGGAAACGACUGCUAAGCCCCGAUGUACCGAAAGGGAAAAUAUUUAUAGCCUGAAGAUGAGCUCGCGUCCGAUUAGCUAGUUGGCGGAGUAAAAGCCCACCAAGGCGACGAUCGGUAGCUGGUCUGAGAGGACGAUCAGCCACACUGGGACUGGGACACGGCCCAGACUCCUACGGGAGGCAGCAGUGGGGAAUUUUCCGCAAUGGGCGAAAGCCUGACGGAGCAAGACCGCGUGAGGGAAGAAGGCUCUUGGGUCGUAAACCUCUUUUAUCAGGGAAGAAAAAAAUGACGGUACCUGAAGAAUCAGCCUCGGCUAACUCCGUGCCAGCAGCCGCGGUAAUACGGAGGAGGCAAGCGUUAUCCGGAAUUAUUGGGCGUAAAGCGUCCGCAGGUGGCUUAUCAAGUCUGCUGUCAAAGAGUGGGGCUUAACCCCAUAAAGGCAGUGGAAACUGGGAAGCUAGAGUGCCGUAGGGGUAGAGGGAAUUCCCGGUGUAGCGGUGAAAUGCGUAGAGAUCGGGAAGAACAUCGGUGGCGAAAGCGCUCUACUGGACGGCAACUGACACUCAGGGACGAAAGCUAGGGGAGCGAAUGGGAUUAGAUACCCCAGUAGUC
Molecule: ribosomal RNA, 663 nt
Filed under: uncultured cyanobacterium
Lineage: Bacteria; Bacillati; Cyanobacteriota
Description: bacterial SSU rRNA
Rfam family: Bacterial small subunit ribosomal RNA
Source: RNAcentral